UAGGGAAUAUUGGUCAAUGGAGGCAACUCUGAACCAGCCAUGCCGCGUGUAGGAAGAAGGCGUUCUGCGUUGUAAACUACUUUUGAUUGGGAACAAAUGACUCUUGCGAGAGUAGCUGAGUGUACCAAUAGAAUAAGCCACGGCUAACUACGUGCCAGCAGCCGCGGUAAUACGUAGGUGGCAAGCGUUGUCCGGAUUUAUUGGGUUUAAAGGGUGCGUAGGCGGCUUGAUAAGUCAGUGGUGAAAGCCGAUCGCUUAACGAUCGAACUGCCAUUGAUACUGCCAGGCUUGAGUAUAGUUGAGGUAGGCGGAAUUGACAGUGUAGCGGUGAAAUGCAUAGAUAUUGUCAAGAACACCAAUUGCGAAGGCAGCUUACUAAAGUAUAACUGACGCUGAGGCA
Molecule: ribosomal RNA, 400 nt
Filed under: uncultured bacterium
Lineage: Bacteria
Description: bacterial SSU rRNA
Rfam family: Bacterial small subunit ribosomal RNA
Source: RNAcentral